AAUCAAACGCGAAAGGGUAUUUGAUGGAUGCCUUGGCAUUAAGAGGCGAUGAAGGACGUGAUAGACUGCGAUAAGCUACGGGGAAAUGUCAAUAAUUUUUGAUCCGUAGAUUUCCGAAUGGGGGAACCUGUUGCAUUAGCAACAUCACUUAUUGAAUUAAUAGAUAAGUGGAGCAAACCUGAUGAACUGAAACAUCUAAGUAAUCAGAGGAAAAGAAAUCAAUAGAGAUUUCGUUAGUAGCGGCGAGCGAAAACGAAACAGCCCAGUACUUUGGGUUUUUAAACCAAAAUGCUAUGGAAAGAGCAACGAUAUAGGUGAUAGUCCUGUAUGGGUAUAUAAAAAUUCAAUUUCUUGAGUAGAGCGGGACACGUGUUAUCUUGCUUGAAUAUGGGGGGACCACCCUCCAAGGCUAAAUACUACUUAAUGACCGAUAGUGAACAAGUACCGUGAGGGAAAGGUGAAAAGAACCCCGGAAGGGGAGUGAAAUAGAUCUGAAAUCAAAUACUUACAAGCAGUCGGAGCAAAUUUUUUUGUGACGGCGUACCUUUUGCAUAAUGAGCCAGCGAGUUUAUCUUUUGAGCAAGCUUAAGUCGUUAGACGUAGGCGUAGCGAAAGCGAGUUUUAAUAGAGCGAGCAGUUUAAAGGAUAAGACCCGAAACCGAGUGAUCUAGCUAUGAGCAGGCUGAAGAUGUGGUGAUACACAUUGGAGGGCCGAACCAUAUCACGUUGCAAUGUGUGUGGAUGACUUGUUGCUAGGGGUGAAAGGCUAAUCAAACUCGGAAAUAGCUGGUUCUCCGCGAAAUCUAUUUAGGUAGAGCGUCAUAAUUAUCUUUUUGGGGUAGAGCUCUGAAUAGGCUAGGGGGGAGAAAUCUUUACCAAACCUAAUCAAACUACGAAUACGAAAAGUCAAUUUUAUGGCAAGACAGACUUAGGGUGCUAAGAUCCUAGGUCAAGAGGGAAAGAGCCCAGAUCACCGUCUAAGGUCCCCAAACACAACUAAGUGGUUAAGGAAGUAAAAAAACCAAAACAGUCAGGAGGUUGGCUUAGAAGCAGCCAUCCUUUAAAGAAAGCGUAAUAGCUCACUGAUCUAUUAGUUUUUUUGCGCCGAAAAUUUAACGGGGCUAAAGUUGUGUACCGAAGACGUGAGUGCUUUAAAAUUAAUUUAUUAAGAAUUUUCUUUGUAAAUUUUUUUUAAGGCGCGGUAGCGGAGCGUUCUGUAAGCCUGUGAAGGUGUAGGCGUGAGCCUUACUGGAGGUAUCAGAAGUGAGAAAGCUGGCAUGAGUAGCAUAAAAAAAUGUGAGAAACAUUUUCGCUGAAAGUCCAAGGUUUCCUACGCAAGGUUUGUCCGCGUAGGGUUAGUCGGCCCCUAAGGCGAGGACAUUUGUCGUAGUCGAUGGGAAUCAGGCUUGGGUUUACCCAAGGUAAAAAUAAUAUUCCUGAACCUGCUAAAUGUGACGGAGUGAACAUACUGUAAGUUUUUAUUGGAUUAAACUUGCUUUAUCUAGCUUCCAGGAAAUAGCAUUAGCAUAUAGACCGUACCCCAAACCGAAACAGGUGGACUGGUAGAGUAUACUAAAGCGUUUGAGAGAAUGGUGUUGAAGGAACUCGGCAAAUUGAUCUCGUAACUUCGGAAUAAGAGAUGUCUCAAUUUGGGAAACCAGAUUGAGAUGGCACAUAAGAGGGAGUGGCGACUGUUUAUCUAAAACACAGGACUCUGCAAAAAUCAAAAUUGAUGUAUAGGGUCUGACGCCUGCCCGGUGCUGGAAGGUUAAUAGGAUUUGUUCACGCAAUGAAUAGAAGCCCCAGUAAACGGCGGCCGUAACCAUGACGGUCCUAAGGUAGCGAAAUUCCUUGUCAGGUAAAUUCUGACCUGCAUGAAUGGCGUAACGACUGCUCCGCUGUCUCCAACACCAACUCAGUGAAGUUGAAUGCUCCGUGAAAAUGCGGAGUACCCAUGGUUAGACGGAUAGACCCCGUGCACCUUUACUACAGCUUUACAUUGGCAAGAUGAACAUUAUGUGUAGGAUAGGCGGUAGUCUUUGAAGCGUGGGCGCUAGCUUGCGUGGAGACAUCCUUGAAAUACCGUCCUUGAUGUUUGUUUUUCCUAACCUUUUCUGCGAUCCAGGUAAGGGAAAGUGUAUGGUGGGUAGUUUGACUGGGGCGGUCGCCUCCUAAAGAGUAACGGAGGCGUACAAAGGUAAGUUCAAGUUGUUUGGAAAGCAACUGUUGAGUGCAAUGGCAUAAACUUGCUUGACUGCGAGACGUACAUGUCGAGCAGAGACGAAAGUCGGUCAUAGUGACCCGGUGGUUCUGUGUGGAAGGGCCAUCGAUCAACGGAUAAAAGGUACGCCGGGGAUAACAGGCUAAUCUCUCCCAAGCGUUCACAGCGACGGGGAGGUUUGGCACCUCGAUGUCGGCUCAUCACAUCCUGGGGCUGAAGCAGGUCCCAAGGGUUUGGCUGUUCGCCAAUUAAAGUGGUACGCGAGCUGGGUUCAGAACGUCGUGAGACAGUUCGGUCCCUAUCUGCCAUGGGCGUGUGGAAAAUUGAGAGGAGCUGCUCCUAGUACGAGAGGACCGGAGUGGACAUAUCACUGGUGUACCAGUUGUCGUGCCAACGGCAAUGCUGGGUAGCUACAGUAUGGCACGGAUAACCGCUGAAAGCAUCUAAGCGGGAAGCCGACCUCAAGAUUAGUUUUCCCUAUGAGAGUCGUGGAAGAUAACCACGUUGAUAGGCUGGGUGUGGAAGUCAGGUAACUGAUGAAGCUGACCAGUACUAAUACUCCAUUGGUUUGAUU
RNAcentral lists this ribosomal RNA (2795 nucleotides) under Candidatus Cytomitobacter indipagum. RNAcentral describes it as "23S ribosomal RNA". It matches the Rfam family "Bacterial large subunit ribosomal RNA". Lineage: Bacteria; Pseudomonadati; Pseudomonadota; Alphaproteobacteria; Holosporales; Holosporaceae. The record is from RNAcentral.